RNAcentral lists this ribosomal RNA (253 nucleotides) under uncultured bacterium. RNAcentral's name for it is "partial 16S ribosomal RNA". It matches the Rfam family "Bacterial small subunit ribosomal RNA", at positions 524 to 776 of the family's 1533-position model. The record is from RNAcentral.
UACGUAGGGGGCUAGCGUUGUCCGGAUUUAUUGGGCGUAAAGAGCGUGUAGGCGGCCAGGUAGGUCUGCUGUGAAAACUCGAGGCUCAACCUCGAGAUGUCGGCGGAAACCAUCUGGCUAGAGUCCGGAAGAGGAAAGUGGAAUUCCUGGUGUAGCGGUGAAAUGCGCAGAUAUCAGGAAGAACACCCGUGGCGAAGGCGGCUUUCUGGGCAUUAACUGACGCUGAGGAGCGAAAGCAUGGGGAGCGAACAGG